RNAcentral lists this small RNA (780 nucleotides) under Pan troglodytes (chimpanzee). Its description in RNAcentral is "sense overlapping". The record is from RNAcentral. Lineage: Eukaryota; Metazoa; Chordata; Mammalia; Primates; Hominidae.
CUGCUUCAGUAGGUGUUGGAGCCUGAGAUUCUGGCUUUCUAACAAGCUCCCAGGUAAGUGCUGAUGCUGCUGCUUUGAGGGCCACACACCUUGAGGAGUAGGAAGAGUACUCAUACUGGAAGAGUAUUCAGCACGGACUGGAAUCCUGCAUACAUAUCUGAGCUCUGUGUUCUGUAGAGAUGGGGUUUCACCAUGUUGCCCAGGCUGGUCUCAAACUCCUGAGCUCAGGCCAUCUGCCCGCCUCGGCCUCCCAAAGUGCUAGGAUUACAGGUUUCUCUUAUUGCCUGGAUCCAAGAGCAUCUCCUGGGUUCUUCCUGUUAGAAUACUGAAUGUCCAUGGAGAGUUUAACAUAAGGAAGAAGAGGGCGGUCUCCCAGCUGAAACUGGUGCAGCAGAUCAUGCAAAGUAAAACCUCAGCAGCUGUGAUGAAGUAGAGCCGAGGGCCUGGGUGUCUGUCAACUCCAAGCGGAAGAUUUCCCCAGCUUUCUAGGUAACUGUGCUUCCACUGAGCAAACCAGACACAGACUUGAAUGUCAUCACAAUCUGUGCCUGUGACAUCUUUCCCCAAGAACAGCACAAAUUGAACUUUUACAUUCUUCAUAAUAUGGAAGGAAAGGUAUUGACUGAGCCACUUCUUUAUGCCUCAAGACAUCUCAUAUGUAUUUAUAUGGAUACAUACAUGAAUAUAUAUAUUCUGUCAUAAUAACAUAUUCUAUUUUUCUUAUUAUAGCACAGUGUUAGGAUAGGCUACAUAGGCUGCAUUAAACCCUCAAAUAGAAGU